CACCGCCUCCCUCACGGCUGCGGCCGCUGGGCUAUCGCUCCUCCCGUUUCCCUCACGGCACCGGGGCUGCCCCUCAGGCGGCCCCUCAUGGCCCCGGGCACGGUGAUCCCCCUCAGGCGGGCCCCUCUUGGCCCCGGGCACGGCGAUCGCCCUCGGGCGGCCCCUCAGGGCGAUCCCUCCCCGCCGCCCCCUCAGACACCCAUGUGUGCCCUCCUAGACAAUUCCCUGGAACCGGGGACCCCCUGCCCCUCCAUAGCCGCCCUUCUCCUCAGAGACGGCCGUGUGUUCGCCCUCAGACAUUUCCCUGGAAACCGGCACCCCCUGCACCUCCGGAGCCCCCCUCGUCCCCUCAGGCCUCCCCCUCUUGCCCUCAGGACAAAGGAGUCCAGGUCAAUAAGAAGCCGGAUUUUGAAGAGAACACAGGACAGGCUACACAACCCCCUGAGAUUCCCUCCUGCCCCAAGGGGAUUCAGCAACCCCAAAAACCUCACACUGCUGCAGGUGCAGAGGCUUUGAUUCCUCAUGUAACUAAGGAAGCUCUGUGAUUCCCGGGCAACUUCAGUGCCAAUGGAUGCCCAACAACACGAUGCUCUCUGAAGCUACCUUGCACAAACCUGACCAGCUGCCAGACAAGCAUCAAUGCAGCAAGAACAGCAGGACUGUUUUCCCAGAUCACCUGGAAGGGGAAUGUUUCUUGCCAACAGGUUCAGCCAGUGCUGGCCUCUAAGACUGUCAAGCAGGGAAGGGAGUGAGGGGGAGAAAAUCAGCUCUCUUAGACAAUAACUCUCCAGGGAAGGGGUGUAAAAGCCUUGUCAUGCUGAAGCCUGACUUAAAAUGUCAUAUUGCAAGUAGGCUGUGGUUUGGGUUUUUUUCUCCUUUACGAAUGGUUUGAU
Chiroxiphia lanceolata (lance-tailed manakin) is the source of this 893-nucleotide long non-coding RNA. RefSeq lists it as uncharacterized. The transcript is spliced from 4 exons. Lineage: Eukaryota; Metazoa; Chordata; Aves; Passeriformes; Pipridae. The record is from RefSeq and is a predicted model, not a curated record.